GCCGCGACCGGCGCACGGUGAGUAACACGUAUGCAACCUGCCCUCUUCACGGGGACGAACCUUCCGAACGGGAGGCUAAUCCCGCGUAUAUCGGUUUCGGGCAUCCGAGAUCGAGGAAAGAUUCAUCGGAAGAGGAUGGGCAUGCGGCGCAUUAGCUGACGCGGGUAACGGCCACCGUGGCGACGAUGCGUAGGGGUUCUGAGAGGAAGGUCCCCCACACUGGUACUGAGACACGGACCAGACUCCUACGGGAGGCAGCAGUGAGGAAUAUUGGUCAAUGGGAGAGAUCCUGAACCAGCCAAGCCGCGUGAGGGAAGACGGCCCUAUGGGUUGUAAACCUCUUUUUGUCGGAGAACAAAACCCGGGACGUGUCCCGGACUGCGUGUAUCCGAAGAAAAAGCAUCGGCUAACUCCGUG
Molecule: ribosomal RNA, 417 nt
Filed under: uncultured Bacteroidales bacterium
Lineage: Bacteria; Pseudomonadati; Bacteroidota; Bacteroidia; Bacteroidales
Description: bacterial SSU rRNA
Rfam family: Bacterial small subunit ribosomal RNA
Source: RNAcentral